GCCACUGUGGCUUAGAGGUAUCCGAAUUCUCGAUGGGAAUUCGGGCUCUAAAUAGCGACGCCUUGGUAAGGCGUAGGUCGAGGGUUCAAUUCCCUCCAGUGGCU
RNAcentral lists this transfer RNA (104 nucleotides) under Methanobacteriota archaeon. Its description in RNAcentral is "Euryarchaeota archaeon (groundwater metagenome) tRNA-Thr". It matches the Rfam family "tRNA". Rfam says of the family: Transfer RNA (tRNA) molecules are approximately 80 nucleotides in length. Their secondary structure includes four short double-helical elements and three loops (D, anti-codon, and T loops). The record is from RNAcentral. RNAcentral also lists the same sequence under 1 other name. Lineage: Archaea; Methanobacteriati; Methanobacteriota.